This is a long non-coding RNA of Bombus impatiens (common eastern bumble bee), 1905 nucleotides long. RefSeq lists it as uncharacterized. The record is from RefSeq and is a predicted model, not a curated record. NCBI's taxonomy places the organism in Eukaryota, Metazoa, Arthropoda, Insecta, Hymenoptera, Apidae. The transcript has 3 exons.
AACAGAAGCGAGAAGAGAACGGAGAGAAGAAGCGCGGGUGUUCCUCGCCGGAGAGAGCUAUAAUAGCACGAAACAUAAUCCCCGGGUGAAUCUAACGAGUCCUGUAAGAGCGAGCUGGACCAACGAGGGACGAAGAAGAUGGUGUGAGAGACGAGUAAGAAUACGUGACUGCAGGACGAGCAAGAGGAAGGAAGAUAGUCGAAAGAGUGUAAGAUUGAAAGUCAGAGAGGAAGAGGGGAAAGCGGUUCGGCGCCUCUCCGAUCAUUCUUCAGUCUAGCGCAACGACUCAUCGGCUUUUUUUGCCGCUGCGGCUCCGAAGAGACGUUCAAAUUGCUCUAAUGGCGGACCAAAGAGGAAAGUUAUGCCCGACAGAAAAAAGAAUUACGGUAUUUGGUUCCAAAAUGCGUGACACAGUCGUCUCUUCGUUAUAAGAAAAUUAAUUCUCAAAAACAUCUCACAAUCAAGAUUAAAUUAUACAGCUGCCAGCUGGAGCCUAAGUAACUCUACAUCUUAGAGAUAAUAUUCGUAACAGAGUUUCUUAGAAACGAUGACUGGUGCUUUACAAGCAACAAGAACUUGACACAGCUUAUGCAACAUCUCGUUUAAUGUCGAGAGUCACAAUUCGAUUAUUCUCUAAACUUAAACAAGGCCGAUCUAUGUAAAUGGAAAAUUUCAGAUACCAGACUCGAUCACGAAGAAAUGUUAUUAGAUUUUAAUGAUCGCGUAAGUGCAGCAUACUUUAAAAGACGGAAACGUACGUUGCACGGUUCCCAGACGCGGCCAAUUAAUUCGGCAAACCGGGCAAUUAGUGAAAUUAUUAAUAAAAAUCGUAAUGAAGCUAAAUCAACGGUGAUAGAAGCCUUCCUGUGCGGUCGUCGGUGGGCCAUUGUACGACCAUGAUGCACCGUUUAAUAAUCGGCAACGUCUUUCGAAUUGUAUGUCAAUUGGCGACAAUAAUAAAAUUCGACGAUGGCGUCGAGACGUCGUUUGCCACGGUGUGUGCGUUCGUCUGCGCGAAAGUCGAUUAGUUUGUCUCUUAAUUAAAGACCUCGCGCGACUAUCAGCUCGUCGUACCGCGUAAAGUGGAUUUGGACAGUCGAGGAAAUUUUGAAUAACCACCGAAACAUAUCGUGAUUCCUUUCGUAGACUUAUUAUGCCUAGCAUGACAAACAAUAAUUAGAUUGCAAUGAUAAAAAAUUGUGCAAGGCGCAGAGGUACGCGUGAAUUCACAUAAUACGCAAACAUGCAUAAAAUAUGCAAAAUAGGUACAGCGCUCGUUAUAACAUUUUGUAGAUGAAACAAAUCUCUAUCUAGACUUCGCUUCUUCGGUCGUGUUCAUAAGGAUAUAAAUUUGCAUAAACAUCCACACUCUUAUGGUAACAGAUUUAUUACGUACGAAGUUCCAUCGCGGCAUCGUACUCUUCCUGUUCUAAAUCUGACGAAACCCUAUGCAGCUGGUUGAAACGAGAACGAUCUUCUCCUACAUAGCGAGAAGAUCCGUGAAAAAUGGCAAGAUCGGCAAAGCCCAGGAGCGAGGUGGAAAAGGCAGGAAAAGUCCUGUCGGUGGAUCCGUUCUAGGGACGACGAUAAUUCCGGUCGACGACGUCGGGACGAGAGUAAUUGGCGGAAGGAAGGACCGGAUGCAGCGCAGAGGGAAGAACGGAUGGAACGAACGAGGACACGGAAUGUAAAAUGGCAAGAGUAUUGGCUGCACGGAACGAACGAGACCACGCACAACUAAGAUUAUAUUCUCAUUAACUCGAUCUCGGCGGGGAAAUCAUCGGGACGAAUGGAAAUUGCUCGCGGGAUUGAAUAUUCGACGGUCUUCUUUCGGAUCGAGCCCGAACAAGCAGAAGGAUCUUGGAUAUUCCGCUCGGAUGUCGAUCCUCUCAAUUUCCUCGAAUA